RNAcentral lists this ribosomal RNA (426 nucleotides) under uncultured bacterium. RNAcentral's name for it is "partial 16S ribosomal RNA". It matches the Rfam family "Bacterial small subunit ribosomal RNA", at positions 355 to 773 of the family's 1533-position model. The record is from RNAcentral.
UGGGGAAUUUUGGACAAUGGGCGAAAGCCUGAUCCAGCAAUGCCGCGUGUGUGAAGAAGGCCUUCGGGUUGUAAAGCACUUUUGUCCGGAAAGAAAUCCUUGGCUCUAAUACAGUCGGGGGAUGACGGUACCGGAAGAAUAAGCACCGGCUAACUACGUGCCAGCAGCCGCGGUAAUACGUAGGGUGCAAGCGUUAAUCGGAAUUACUGGGCGUAAAGCGUGCGCAGGCGGUUUGCUAAGACCGAUGUGAAAUCCCCGGGCUCAACCUGGGAACUGCAUUGGUGACUGGCAGGCUAGAGUAUGGCAGAGGGGGGUAGAAUUCCACGUGUAGCAGUGAAAUGCGUAGAGAUGUGGAGGAAUACCGAUGGCGAAGGCAGCCCCCUGGGCCAACACUGACGCUCAUGCACGAAAGCGUGGGGAGCAAAC